Long non-coding RNA from Thamnophis elegans (Western terrestrial garter snake), 2455 nucleotides. RefSeq lists it as uncharacterized. The record is from RefSeq and is a predicted model, not a curated record. The transcript is spliced from 2 exons. Lineage: Eukaryota; Metazoa; Chordata; Lepidosauria; Squamata; Natricidae.
AGUACUGCACUCUAACCACUGCGCCACCUCGGCUCUUCAGAAUCUGCUGAAUGCCACCCCUGCAAUGGCCAUAUACACAUAUUUUUAAACAGAUGAGUUAGAUGCAUACCAGGCAGUUUGGAUUUUAAAGAUGCUUCAAAAUGCAUCCUGCAGUUAUUCUGUUCAUCUUAAUCCUUACCCAUGUAUUAUUAUUUAUCAAAUUUAUGGCCACACACUUAUUUAGGGGCCUGGGUCAUUGGGAUGGGGAAAAAAGGCAAAUUUUAUCUGACAGCUAAAUUGGACAAGUGAAAAUACAAUCAUGCACCCACCAUUUAUAGCAACCCUUGCUGAACUGGGAUCAGGGUUAGAAAUAUUUUAGAUAAGGAUUCCUAUGGUUCAUACUCCCUAAUAAAACAUUCCUUCCUCCAUAAAAUGCUAGUGAACGAUUCUCAGCCAGAAUAAAUAAUUUUCUUUGCAAUCUGAAUUCAUCAAAGAUGUAAGACAGGUGAAAAGGACCACACCUUUCCAUAAAUGGCAUAGUCUUAGUGCUAAAGAAUUGCUGGCCAUGUCAAUGAAAGACUCCAGACAUGUUAAAGGGAUACAUUUAUCUAAUAUUUUGUAGGGUUCCACCCUGGACAGCAAUACAAACUGAGAUUUAAGCAAAAGGAAUGUUAUCUUGAUAGUUGGAUAGUGCAAAUGCUUCAAAUAUAUAGGAAACAUUUACAUUCCUUAAAGCAAAGGUUGGCAAUAUAACGUCCAACAGACUUCCUAACUUCCUGACAUUAAAAAAUGAAAAAGAAAUACCAAAAGUUCAUGAUUUGCGCAUACUCACAUGAGAAUUUUAAUGUUCAUGAGAUCUCAUACCAGAAUGCUCAAAAUGAAGAGAGCUCAAGAGAAGGUCCUUCCUGAAAUUCCACAAGACUUUGAGAGGCAGCAUACAGGAAAUUGCAUGAUGUAAGUGGAAAAAUUACUGAUUCUGUCUUUAUAAGGCUCCUUAGUAUUGAAAAUAAAAUGCCAACAUUGUUAUGUCUUUAUACAAACCUAAGUUACAUUUACACUUGGAAUAUUGCAUAUGUUGCUGCUUGCCACACUUAUAAAGGGGAUAUAAUCAGCUGAGAAAAGAGCAGAAGAGGGCAACCAGAAUGAACAAAUGCCUUCCCUACAAGAAAAAAGCUAAACUGUUUGGGAUUAUUCAUGUUAAAGAACAGAAAACUGAGGGAGGAUGUUGUUGAGAAGUAUAACAUCCUACAUGGCACGAUGAAAGUAGACAGAAAGAAGGUUUUUUUCUUCUUCUUGGAUAUCAUUAGGACCAAAGACUAUGUAUCCAGUGAAGGAGAUUGGAAGCAUAGCAGCAUCUCAGGGGUUUCUAUGGAAAGCAAAGUGGAUUAAGAUGGAAUUUGGACAGUCCCAGUGGAAAACCUCUGAAAAUCUGAAUUUCAAUCAAGACCAUGGCAACCUAUUCUCGGUACACAUUUAUAUACCAUAUUGGAUCCUAACUAUCCUCAUGGUGAUUCUACCUGCACACAGUAUGAGAGUCAUGCUGUCUUCAGUGGUAUUGAUUCUCAUAUGAUGACAUUUGCACAGGAAAAUCUUCAACUCUCUGGAGUUUCAAAAUCUGGGAAUUCUGAAAGUUUGUUGCAAAGUAACCAUAUCAACAGUAUACCGUUCUCUUUUUACCUAUCAGUUUUUAUUCAUCUCUGAUUACCCACCAUGAAACAUUAGGAGAGGACAAGCCCUAGAGAUAAUUAUUAACAAGGCUUGAUUGUAAGUACCCAUUUUUAGGUUACUCCGAGGCUCUAUCAUGCACUUCCCAUGGGAAGUCAUGUUAAUAUGUGCAGGAAUCAAUUAGAAGAGACAGUGUCCUAUAAUUAGGACACUCAAGGAAACACAUCUAGCAAACAUACCAUUAGAACAGUUAGGAAUUAAGACACAAGCCUCCAAGUUGCUUUUACAACAAAAUUGCCCAACUGUUCAUAAACCCCAAACCCUUUAAUAAUGCAAAGCUUCAGAGGGCCCUACCACAAAUAAGGCAUGUCUCUUGUUUGUUUUGGAGGUGCCUUCAUGGCUUUGGCUGCUUUGGCUGCUAUGGCCAUAAUACUGGUAGUUCACAACUUCUCAAAAACCUUGCGUCCUAAUCCCUUCCAGAAAACCAACUCCAUGCCCUCACAUGCAGACAGAACUGUGGCUGUGCAUGUUGCUAUUGCUCUUUCUUUUCCAAUGGGAAAGAGCAACUGCCUUUUGCCACCCAGUGAAUUCUGGAAAAUGGUUUUGCAAGCUGCUUCUGGUAAGGUCAGUCCAGAGGAAAUGCAGGCUGGGUUUAACUCUCCUGAUGUGAACAGUGUGCAGUAAUUUCCCAAUCCAACACAAUAUUAUGUGCCAUUUCUCAUAAUUAAUUUAAUCAUCCGCAUAUGUCUUAUUAACCUGCUAAAAUGACACUCUGUCUUUUAGAAUUACGACAAUCUUAACCAUUAAGCAG